Molecule: long non-coding RNA, 245 nt
Filed under: Elaeis guineensis (African oil palm)
Lineage: Eukaryota; Viridiplantae; Streptophyta; Magnoliopsida; Arecales; Arecaceae
Description: long non-coding RNA (EGUI_LNC048505)
Source: RNAcentral
GGUUUUCAGUUCGAACAAAAUGAAAAAGAGUGAGUAGACAGGGCCACGGGUUUCUCUAUUUAAAAAUCCUAUCCCGACAUAAGGGUCGACUCCAUUUAAAAAUGAGUUGACUCCUUGCUGUAGAGAACAGUUCAAAGAAGUUUCAAAAUUAUGGAAUUUGGCUCAAAUUGAUUUGUGAUCAAAUUUAGGGUUAAGAUUGACAUUUUAGAUAAGUUGGGGCAUCAAGAAUCAAUUAAUUGGAGGCA